RNAcentral lists this long non-coding RNA (1145 nucleotides) under Bemisia tabaci. Its description in RNAcentral is "lncRNA ENSSSA2NGG012559". Lineage: Eukaryota; Metazoa; Arthropoda; Insecta; Hemiptera; Aleyrodidae. The record is from RNAcentral.
AUGGAACACGAAAUAGCAGUCAAUGUACGAGAGGACCACGGCUUGUUUUUCAAAAUGGUACGACUAGCAAUUACAAACGAGGCAUCUAUGGCUAUAAGGGGUAGCGAUGAAAACUGGCCCAUGGUAAGGAAAACAUUGUUUGAACUUUACGGGUCGCGAAAAACGAUUACUGAAGUAGAAAGGAAUCUGUUGGAAGCAAAACAAGGUAAUGAUGAGUCCGUAGACGCUUACGCAGCGCGCAUACGUCGUUUAUCAAUAAAUUACAUGGCUGUACUAAAGAAAACGUAUGGGGCCGAGGCCGUAGAUAGGAGGAUGAUUAAUGAUCGCGUGAAAGAUUAUUUUGUCAGGGGGUUGAAUACAGCAGUGUACCAAUCAGUUAUUCACGGAAACUUUGCUGAUUUAGCGGAAGCACAAGCCGCGGCCAGCAGGAUAGAGCGAGAAUUCGCGAGCCGCGCGGAUAUGAUAACUCCAGCUUUUGCUAAAAAUCAUGGUAUAAAUUACAAAUCGCAGGCGUACCAACCGCCUACCUGUUAUCGUUGCAAUGAGAAAGGGCACCUAGCCCGGGACUGCGACGCCCCACGGGCAAAUGUAACUUUAGCUGGGGGCUCAAUCAACAGAGCAUGGGGGAGCCGAACUCCCCUGUAAACUUUAACUCAGGGGCAAGUGCGCCUUAUCAAUAUGCAAAUUCUGUACAAGGUACUCAAAAUUUACUAGUGAGCGAGCGCCGGCGCAGAACUUUUUACAGCCGCAAAACAAAAUUAGGGCCCCUGAAUUUAUCAGUUCCGCCGCGGUAACACCGCAGAAUAAUGAAACGUACUGUGAUUACUGUUUCCGCAACAAUCAUACUAGGGCUUCAUGCCGGCAGUUGCAGAAGAACUUAGAAAGGGUAGUCUCUGAACGCCAAGGUCAAGGUUCUACAUAUCAGAGGCGCGAUCGGCCCAUAUGCGGUUUUUGCCAAAAAGUAGGCCAUACCAGAGAAGAAUGCUUUAAACUGAAAAGACAGAUGCAGCAACAAAUGGGGGGCCUAUCCACUGAACAUAAUCAGCCGAUCUUUGGCUGCGACUACUGUUUCAUGACAAACCAUGUCAGAAGUAAUUGUUUCAAAUUACAGCGGGACCAGGAGCAUGCCAGGAAUGUUGCAGCAG